GCCUAAUACAUGCAAGUAGAACGCUGAAGGAAAGAGCUUGCUCUUUUUGGAUGAGUUGCGAACGGGUGAGUAACGCGUAGGUAACCUGCCUUGUAGCGGGGGAUAACUAUUGGAAACGAUAGCUAAUACCGCAUAACAAUGACUGACACAUGUUAGUGAUUUAAAAGGGGCAACUGCUCCACUACAAGAUGGACCUGCGUUGUAUUAGCUAGUUGGUGAGGUAACGGCUCACCAAGGCGACGAUACAUAGCCGACCUGAGAGGGUGAUCGGCCACACUGGGACUGAGACACGGCCCAGACUCCUACGGGAGGCAGCAGUAGGGAAUCUUCGGCAAUGGGGGCAACCCUGACCGAGCAACGCCGCGUGAGUGAAGAAGGUUUUCGGAUCGUAAAGCUCUGUUGUAAGAGAAGAACGGGUGUGAGAGUGGAAAGUUCACACUGUGACGGUAUCUUACCAGAAAGGGACGGCUAACUACGUGCCA
Molecule: ribosomal RNA, 482 nt
Filed under: Streptococcus sp. RAG24
Lineage: Bacteria; Bacillati; Bacillota; Bacilli; Lactobacillales; Streptococcaceae
Description: bacterial SSU rRNA
Rfam family: Bacterial small subunit ribosomal RNA
Source: RNAcentral